GCGAGGGAGAUCCGGGAGCUCAUCAGGGAGUGUGUGCCGUCGGUGGUUUGCAUUGUGGAGACACAACUGUCAAAACAACGAGUGGAGGGUCUGACAGCAACGUUAGGCUUUAAGGGAGGAUUCGCAGUGGCUAGCUCUGGAAGGAGCGGAGGUUUGGCAGUAUUC
RNAcentral lists this ribosomal RNA (165 nucleotides) under Triticum aestivum (bread wheat). RNAcentral's name for it is "partial small subunit ribosomal RNA". The record is from RNAcentral. Lineage: Eukaryota; Viridiplantae; Streptophyta; Magnoliopsida; Poales; Poaceae.